Molecule: non-coding RNA, 2150 nt
Organism: Oncorhynchus mykiss (rainbow trout)
Lineage: Eukaryota; Metazoa; Chordata; Actinopteri; Salmoniformes; Salmonidae
Source: RefSeq, a predicted model, not a curated record
AACCAGCUACUGCAGAUGAGUCACCUAUUUUGUGUGGUUGGUGCGUUAUAGGUUAUGCAUAUAUUGCGUGGAUGGCGCGGGUAGGUUCUAUUACACCCACGUUUUAAUACAGUCCCUCGCAGUGACGUAGAAAAGAGCAAUGUGUGUGAGUCAGAACAACUAGGAAAUCCCCCAGUGAGAGUUACGACAGAAGGUGCUGUUCCUUUAAGCGGAGACUUCCUAAAACAAGCACGACAAGAAAGGAGCAGAUAAACAACAACUGCCGGGGGUAGAAUAACCUCGAAAAGACCGUUUACCGGGAUUAAUCUUGUUCAUACAAACGACGGAUCUUUAAGGUGUGUCCGAGCACAAUUUCUGCUGAUUUUGCAUAUCAAAAAUCCCAGAACACUGUUGAAAGCCAUUGCGGAAGUAAACCCAACCUCGACGUGAGAAGAGAGAAUAGGGGGCCACCAAGUGGACUCAACGGAGAAAUACUGCGCGCGACCUUCUGUAUGGGAGAGAUGUACGGAUCGUCAGGAAUGCCAGAUCUGAUUCCAUCGAAUGGCCCGCGACAGCCUGGUCCGGCCGGCCAGUUCAACCCGGGGCAUAGGCAGGUAGCACAGAAUGGGCAUGAGAGGCCCAACCCCCAGAGACUAGGGCAGCGGGCGCCCAAGCUCGGACAAAUUGGUCGUUCCAAGAAAGUGGACCUAGGGGAUGAGGACGUGGAUGACAUCAUGAAUAAUAAUGGCCAAUAAAAAUGUUCCGUGUCCCUCAACCUCUCACCCAUCUCCUAAACCACACCACAUGUGCCAAUGAAGAUCUUCGAAGCCAAACUCACUGAAUCCAUUUGACCUUGAUCAAUCAACUUUACAAGUGACCUCCCCUGAAGCUUGGCCUAGGAUAUCAUAGCUGAAAAGCUCAUCGUGGCACAUUGAGGGACAGUUCUAUUGCCGGAAUUCUAGACAUUAGUUCUAGACAUUAAUUUUAGGAUUCUAUAGACCUUUGCAUCAAAAGCUUGUAUAUUGCGGUUAACUUGUCUGUUGUUAUACUGUGAAUGAAUUGUACUGAAACUUGUUCUGCUCUUAUUACCUCUGUAGUGGACUAUCUGCACUUGGGAAAGUACAGUGUGGCUUGUCUUUAAAGCUUCUAAAGGGCUACAUUUGAAAAAAGUUGCACUCUUUAAAUGAUAAGGUAAAAUGAAAUGGAGUAGGAGUGCUGAUCUAGGAUCAGGUCCCCACUUGUCUAUAGAAUCUUAUUUAAUAUCAUCUAAAAGGCAAGUCUGAUCUUAGAUCAGCACACAGAGGCUAUGAAUACAGUUUUCUUCUUGGUUACUGAUUUUACAAGGUGGAUGUUGUGUAGAAGAAGGCAGGACGAAAGCCUGUUAACAUGUAACGUACAGGUGGAACAUUGAGUUACUGACAGUUGUGAUUUAAUCUAAAUCUGUGGUUCUCUCACCUUGUGGUAUCAGGUUACUGCUGAAUGAUCACUGUUUUGGAAUGCAUGGACAGUUGGAAAAGGUUACUACUGAUCAUUUAUAUUUACAAAAAAAAUAUUGUUUUGGUUUAUUACCUUGUUUUAAAUCAAUUAUGGAUGGCUAUUAUUUUCCAGCACAUUUUUUUUUAGAGUUGAUAUAAUAUAUGGUUUAUGUUGUUUUUCGUAUGUUAUUGCGUAAUGGUGCACUUUGUGGGAAUGACUGUUAAAUAUGUGACGAUGAAACUUUACAUAUUUCUAUGCACGGAUUCUAUUUAAGCAUCAACAAGUCGGGGUAUACUUCCUGUCCAGAAGGGCUACUUUCUUCUUCGUUUAAAUGUUUUUUAUCAUAAAGGCUGAGGCCCAAACGGCACCCUAUUCCCUACAUAAGUCCUAUGGGCCAUAGUCAAAAGUAGUGCACUAUAUAGGGAAUAGGGUGCCGUUUGGGACACAUUUAAUAUUUCAUGUGGACUAUAAGGACAAUGUUGACCUAACUAAUGCCUGUAACUUUCUUGUACACUGGUCACUACUUUCAGUGAAACAUUGCAUUUCACAGCAUAGCUAAUAGUGACGCUGUCAUGAUCACAUGGCUUAAAUGGAUGGAAUUGUUAUGUGCAUUGGGAAUGUUUGCAUGAAAAUGUGAUUUUUGCAUAAUAAUUCAUUAUUGGUAAUAAAGGAGGGAAGAGCUUUUCUUUUUUUAA